Molecule: long non-coding RNA, 580 nt
Filed under: Brassica napus (rape)
Lineage: Eukaryota; Viridiplantae; Streptophyta; Magnoliopsida; Brassicales; Brassicaceae
Description: long non-coding RNA (BNAP_LNC024686)
Source: RNAcentral
AUUCCAGAUUCUAAAGAUUUUAGAACGAUAGGUUAAGCGCAGAAUGUGUUUUCCAAAUAUUUUUAGAUUACUAUUAUAUACAUAGAUCACGUAUUCUAAACAUAUUAGAUUCAAUGAAAAAAGUAGAUUACAUUUUCUACUGUGUAGAAUGUCAAUUCUACUUUUUAUAGAACAAAAUAUAAAAUUACGAUCUAAAUAUAUUUAGAAUUAUAAAAAAAUACCAGCAAGUUGAUAUAGGUAUUUCAUCAGUAGUUACUAUUUUUUGAAUUUUUUUUGUUUGUAAAACUAUUUAUUUGAUUUAUUUUUGAAAAUACUAAAAGGUAUUAGAGGAAAAAUGGUACAAAAAAGAAAUUAGCCUAAUAUGACAUAGUUAUCAUUUUUUGGCCUAAAAAAACAAUUUUCCCUUUUAUUUUUUGUAUUAUGAAGUUUCAUCAGUUUAAUGUUUAUUCUAGAAUGCAUAAAAUUAUAACUACAUGUUUAUUUAGUUCAUGACUUUUAUAAUUCAUAUUUAAAAAAAAAGAACUCUCACAAAAUUAUCUAAGAAAUCUUAAUUUAUUUUGGUAUUUUAUAAAAAAAUAUU